RNAcentral lists this ribosomal RNA (301 nucleotides) under uncultured bacterium. RNAcentral's name for it is "partial 16S ribosomal RNA". It matches the Rfam family "Bacterial small subunit ribosomal RNA", at positions 509 to 807 of the family's 1533-position model. The record is from RNAcentral.
CAGCAGCCGCGGUAAAACGUAGGUGGCAAGCGUUGUCCGGAAUUAUUGGGCGUAAAAGGCGCGCAGGCGGUUUCUUAAGUCUGAUGUGAAAGCCCCCGGCUCAACCGGGGAGGGUCAUUGGAAACUGGGAAACUUGAGUGCAGAAGAGGAGAGUGGAAUUCCACGUGUAGCGGUGAAAUGCGUAGAGAUGUGGAGGAACACCAGUGGCGAAGGCGACUCUCUGGUCUGUAACUGACGCUGAGGAGCGAAGGCGUGGGGAGCGAACAGGAUUAGAUACCCCUGUAGUCCCUGUCUCUUAUAC